This 253-nucleotide ribosomal RNA is filed under the name uncultured bacterium. Its description in RNAcentral is "partial 16S ribosomal RNA". It matches the Rfam family "Bacterial small subunit ribosomal RNA", at positions 524 to 776 of the family's 1533-position model. The record is from RNAcentral.
UACAGAGGGUGCAAGCGUUGUUCGGAAUUAUUGGGCGUAAAGCGCGUGUAGGCGGCUUGGCAAGUCGGGUGUGAAAGCCCUCAGCUCAACUGAGGAAGUGCGCCCGAAACUGCUAAGCUUGAGUGCCAGAGAGGGUGGCGGAAUUCCCGAAGUAGAGGUGAAAUUCGUAGAUAUCUGGAGGAACACCGGUGGCGAAGGCGGCAUCCUGGACCAACACUGACGCUGAGGAGCGAAAGCCAGGGGAGCAAACGGG